This 1530-nucleotide long non-coding RNA is filed under the name Sus scrofa (pig). RNAcentral's name for it is "lncRNA (ENSSSCG00015071443.1)". Lineage: Eukaryota; Metazoa; Chordata; Mammalia; Artiodactyla; Suidae. The record is from RNAcentral.
GUUUACUGUUCUCUAAAAAUACUUUCAGUCACUUCCAUUGCGUUGAUUCUGUAUAAGACUUAGAUUCCUCUCCGUAAGGAAAACAGAAGCAUUGCUGAAUUUGUUAUUAGUGUACCAUGCUGUCAAACAAUAUUCCUACAUGUCCAAAUUCCUGCAAUAUGAUUCACAAGUACACUUCAUAUUAUUAACACUAAAAAAAUUAUUUACACACCAGAAUAUAAUUCAGGGAAAAGAAGUUUUUUUAGUAAUGUCUUCUAAAAGGAAUUUUUACUAUAAUUUAUGACAUGGGAAAAUCUAUGAAAUUUACAACUACUGAAAAUGGAAGUCCAUAGCAAUCUUUUUCUAAGUUCUUAGUUUCUAAAAACUCAAAACUAGAAAAAUAUCUCAUUACAACAUUCCAGCCAAGUUUUGGUUUUGAAGGUUGACUAAUGGAAAAAAGAUGUUUUGAAUACUUGGUUUUUCUCUGACUUAUUUUUUCUGCUUGUUAGUUAGAUUCUUUAUUACAUCUGGCUUCAAGAUUAUUUAUCACAGAUGUCACUGUACAUGAUUUUGGAGGUUUUGUCAUCUCAAUUCCACAUGUAGCAAAAUUAACAUUCUCUUUUUAUCUUAAGCUUUGAAGAUUUCUCAAAACAAACUUUUUCUUGAAGGACUCUUGUUCUAAAUGGAAUCAAACAACAAAAACUUAAAUGCAGCUCUUAAAGAAUAAUUGGUAAAUGUCAUGAAACGAACCCAUUGAUUUAAAAACUAUACAAUGAUCAAAAGUGUGCAACUGAGAAAACUUUCUGCUGCUAAUAGCAAUGUUUUUGGGUUCAAAAAGAGAGACUGUAAGAAAAUAAUGGUUUUAUUCAAUACCAAGUUUAUGUAGCUUUAGGAAAGGAUAUAGGACAGGCAAUUGCACAGAAUGCUUACAAAGGCGUGGCUGUGGUCCUGCAACUCCCAGGAAGUUUUCCACAUCCCAGUCACUCAGCACUUAGAGGAUCCUAGAAGAGGCUGAGUGUGUGCCGUCUUGUCUCAGAAAGCCUUCAGUCUUGAUUCCCACCUAGUCAUUGCUGUCCCCUCUGGAGUUGCUUCAUCAAUACUGGGUUUUUUUGGGGGGUUUUUUUUCUUUUUGGUCUUUUCGUCUUUUCUAGGGCCGCACUCGCAGCAUAUGGAGGUUCCCAAGCUAGGGGUCAAAUCAGAGCUGUAGCUGCCGGCCUACUCCACAGCCACAGCAAUGCAGGAUCUGAGCCGCGUCGCGUCAGCGACCUACACCACAGCUCACCACAAUGCCGGAUCCUUAACCCAGUGAGCAAGGCCAGGGAUCGAACCCACAACCUCAUGGUUCCUAGUCAAAUUGGUUAACCACUGCACCAAGAUGGGAACUCCAACACUGUCAAAGUCUGAUCUAUUUUGGCUCCAGGGUAGGCACACUCUUAAGAGUUCCUUGAGUUAGUAUUUCAAGGAGGAUUUGACCAAGGGUAAAGUCAUCAGGAGUCAUCAAGGCUGGAAAAAAGGCUACCAGACCAGCAUUAACCCUUUCCUUCUAAAAAU